UACGGGGGGAGCAAGCGUUGUUCGGAUUUACUGGGCGUAAAGGGCGCGUAGGCGGUCAGCACAAGUCAGUUGUGAAAUCUCCGGGCUUAACUCGGAACGGCCAAGUGAAACUGUCAUGCUAGAGUGCAGAAGGGGCAAUCGGAAUUCUUGGUGUAGCGGUGAAAUGCGUAGAUAUCAAGAGGAACACCUGAGGUGAAGACGGGUUGCUGGGCUGACACUGACGCUGAUGCGCGAAAGCCAGGGGAGCGAACGGG
Molecule: ribosomal RNA, 254 nt
Filed under: uncultured bacterium
Lineage: Bacteria
Description: partial 16S ribosomal RNA
Rfam family: Bacterial small subunit ribosomal RNA
Source: RNAcentral